UGUGGUGGGCUAGUUGACCCAAGAAGAUACUAUUGGGCCAGUGGUUUGAGGCCUUAUUUGGAUGGAUUUGAUUCGAUUCGGACUUGGGAUUUGACCCAAGAUUUGUUCCGAACUCGGGAUUUGACCCGGGUUGUUUCAUAUGGUAUCAAAGCCGACUCUCGAAAGCUCGGGUCGGGUCAUCCGAUCGGGUUGCCGGAGGUGGGGACACGAAGGCCGGUGGUAUUAUCCCACAAUGGAGAGAUGAAGGUCCGGAGGUGGGGACACGAAGCCAGCAGGUGUAUUAUCCCACAAUGGCUAGAGAGGCAAAGAUCUUUGGGCCGUGUGUGAUCGGUUCUGACGGGGACGUCAGAAAUUUAAGUGGGGGAGUUUGUAACACCCCAGUCCCAUAUCGAAAGAUAGAGGGAAAAAUUUGUCUGCAUAUAAGGAAAUAAGGUUACUACCAAUAGUACCUUCAAGUCAUG
This 461-nucleotide long non-coding RNA is filed under the name Panax ginseng (ginseng). Its description in RNAcentral is "long non-coding RNA (PGIN_LNC010597)". Lineage: Eukaryota; Viridiplantae; Streptophyta; Magnoliopsida; Apiales; Araliaceae. The record is from RNAcentral.